CUAAACGACUCUCGGCAACGGAUAUCUCGGCUCUUGCAUCGGAUGAAGAACGUAGCGAAAUGCGAUACUUGGUGUGAAUUGCAGAAUCCCGUGAACCAUCGAGUCUUUGAACGCAAGUUGCGCCCAAAACCACUUGGUUGAGGGCACGUCUGCCUGGGUGUCACGCA
This 167-nucleotide ribosomal RNA is filed under the name Bellardia viscosa. RNAcentral describes it as "5.8S ribosomal RNA". It matches the Rfam family "5.8S ribosomal RNA". Rfam says of the family: 5.8S ribosomal RNA (5.8S rRNA) is a component of the large subunit of the eukaryotic ribosome. It is transcribed by RNA polymerase I as part of the 45S precursor that also contains 18S and 28S rRNA. Lineage: Eukaryota; Viridiplantae; Streptophyta; Magnoliopsida; Lamiales; Orobanchaceae. The record is from RNAcentral.